Hemibagrus wyckioides is the source of this 114-nucleotide small nuclear RNA. RefSeq annotates it as U5 spliceosomal RNA. NCBI's taxonomy places the organism in Eukaryota, Metazoa, Chordata, Actinopteri, Siluriformes, Bagridae. The record is from RefSeq and is a predicted model, not a curated record. The transcript has a single exon.
AGGCUGAGGGAGUACAAGCCGAAGGAAAGAAAAAAUCUUUUGCCUUUUACUAAAGAUUUCCGUGGAGAGGAACAUCAAUGACUGAUGUAUUGUGAGUUUUGCUCUGACAAGGCU